UACGGGAGGCAGCAGUGGGGAAUAUUGCACAAUGGGCGCAAGCCUGAUGCAGCCAUGCCGCGUGUAUGAAAAAGGCCUUCGGGUUGUAAAGUACUUUCAGUCGUGAGGAAGGUGUUAAGGUUAAUAACCUUAGCAAUUGACGUUAGCGACAGAAGAAGCACCGGCUAACUCCGUGCCAGCAGCCGCGGUAAUACGGAGGGUGCGAGCGUUAAUCGGAAUUACUGGGCGUAAAGGGCACGCAGGCGGUUAAUUAAGUUGGAUGUGAAAUCCCCGGGCUUAACCUGGGAAUGGCAUUCAAGCUAGUUAGCUAGAGUCUUGUAGAGGGGGUAGAAUUCCAUGUGUAGCGGUGAAAUGCGUAGAGAUGUGGAGGAAUACCGGUGGCGAAGGCGGCCCCUGGACAAAGACUGACGCUCAUGUGCGAAAGCGUGGGGAGCAAACAGGGAUUAGA
RNAcentral lists this ribosomal RNA (448 nucleotides) under uncultured bacterium. RNAcentral describes it as "bacterial SSU rRNA". It matches the Rfam family "Bacterial small subunit ribosomal RNA", at positions 340 to 782 of the family's 1533-position model. The record is from RNAcentral.